UUGUGCCAGCCGCCGCGGUAAUACGGAGGGUGCAAGCGUUAAUCGGAAUUACUGGGCGUAAAGCGCGCGUAGGCGGCUUGGCAAGUUGGGUGUGAAAUCCCCGGGCUUAACCUGGGAACUGCAUUCAAAACUGCUAAGCUAGAGUACAGCAGAGGUCAAUGGAAUUUCCGGUGUAGCAGUGAAAUGCGUAGAGAUCGGAAGGAACAUCAGCGGCGAAGGCGAUUGACUGGGCUGAUACUGACGCUGAGGUGCGAAGGCGUGGGUAGCAAACAGGAUUAGAGACCCUGGUAGUCCACGCAGUAAACGAUGAGAACUAGCUGUUGGGAAGCGUCGACUUCUUAGUAGCGAAGCUAACGCGUUAAGUUCUCCGCCUGGGGAGUACGGUCGCAAGAUUAAAACUCAAAGGAAUUGCCGGGGGCCCGCACAAGCGGUGGAACAUGUGGUUUAAUUCGAAGCAACGCGAAGAACCCUACCAGGUCUUGACAUCCUCUGACAACCCUAGAGAUAGGGCUUUCCCUUCGGGGACAGAGUGACAGGUGGUGCAUGGUUGUCGUCAGCUCGUGUCGUGAGAUGUUGGGUUAGGUCCCGCAACGAGCGCAACCCUUGAUCUUAGUUGCCAGCAUUCAGUUGGGCACUCUAAGGUGACUGCCGGUGACAAACCGGAGGAAGGUGGGGAUGACGUCAAAUCAUCAUGCCCCUUAUGACCUGGCUACACACGUGCUACAAUGGACAGAACAAAGGGCUGCGAGACCGCAAGGUUUAGCCAAUCCCAUAAAUCUGUUCUCAGUUCGGAUCGUAGUCUGCAACUCGACUACGUGAAGCUGGAAUCGCUAGUAAUCGCGGAUCA
This 847-nucleotide ribosomal RNA is filed under the name uncultured bacterium. RNAcentral's name for it is "bacterial SSU rRNA". It matches the Rfam family "Bacterial small subunit ribosomal RNA", at positions 503 to 1351 of the family's 1533-position model. The record is from RNAcentral.